ACCCUGCUGGAGUCCGGGGGGGACCUCCAGCCCCCCGGGGGGUCCCUGCGCCUCCUCUGCCGAGGACAAGGAUUCGACAUCGGGAAUCACGAGAUCUUCUGGUUCCGCCAGAAAGCCGGGAAGACGCUGGAAUACGUUGCUCGGAUCAGCCCCGAUGGUGGCACCCCCCAGUACACUCCAGGGGUGCAGGGCCGGUUCACCAUCACCAGGGACAACGGGCAGAGCUCGGUGACGCUGAGCAUGAACAACCUCCAGGACGAGGAUUCCGGGGUUUAUUUCUGUGCCAGAACGUAUGAUGAUGGUGGUGGUUAUGCUGUUUAUCGU
This is a non-coding RNA of Poecile atricapillus (Black-capped chickadee), 324 nucleotides long. The record is from the annotation of a RefSeq genome assembly. NCBI's taxonomy places the organism in Eukaryota, Metazoa, Chordata, Aves, Passeriformes, Paridae.